RNAcentral lists this ribosomal RNA (819 nucleotides) under uncultured bacterium. RNAcentral describes it as "bacterial SSU rRNA". It matches the Rfam family "Bacterial small subunit ribosomal RNA", at positions 8 to 796 of the family's 1533-position model. The record is from RNAcentral.
AGAGUUUGAUCAUGGCUCAGGACGAACGCUGGCGGCGUGCCUAAUACAUGCAAGUCGAACGAACAGAUUUGACACCGAUGCUUGCAUCACCGUUAAAACUGUGAGUGGCGAACGGGUGAGUAACACGUGGGUAACCUGCCUAAAAGAGGGGGAUAACACUUGGAAACAGGUGCUAAUACCGCAUAACCAUGAUGACCGCAUGGUCAUUAUGUAAAAGAUGGUUUCGGCUAUCGCUUUUAGAUGGACCCGCGGCGUAUUAACUAGUUGGUAGGGUAACGGCCUACCAAGGUGAUGAUACGUAGCCGAACUGAGAGGUUGAUCGGCCACAUUGGGACUGAGACACGGCCCAAACUCCUACGGGAGGCAGCAGUAGGGAAUCUUCCACAAUGGACGAAAGUCUGAUGGAGCAACGCCGCGUGUGUGAAGAAGGUCUUCGGAUCGUAAAACACUGUUGUUAGAGAAGAAUACAAGUGAGAGUAACUGUUCACUUGCUGACGGUAUCUAACCAGAAAGCCACGGCUAACUACGUGCCAGCAGCCGCGGUAAUACGUAGGUGGCAAGCGUUGUCCGGAUUUAUUGGGCGUAAAGGGAACGCAGGCGGUUUUUUAAGUCUGAUGUGAAAGCCUUCGGCUUAACCGGAGUAGUGCAUUGGAAACUGGAAGACUUGAGUGCAGAAGAGGAGAGUGGAACUCCAUGUGUAGCGGUGAAAUGCGUAGAUAUAUGGAAGAACACCAGUGGCGAAAGCGGCUCUCUGGUCUGUAACUGACGCUGAGGUUCGAAAGCGUGGGUAGCAAACAGGAUUAGAUACCCUGGUAGUCC